CCUACGGGGGGCUGCAGUGGGGAAUUUUGGACAAUGGGGGCAACCCUGAUCCAGCCAUUCCGCGUGAGUGAAGAAGGCCUUCGGGUUGUAAAGCUCUUUUGUCCGGAGCGAAACGGGCGGCCCUAAUACGGUCGUCUACUGACGGUACCGGAAGAAUAAGCACCGGCUAACUACGUGCCAGCAGCCGCGGUAAUACGUAGGGUACGUACGUUAAUCGGAGCUACCGGGCGUAGAGUUGUAGCAGGCGGUUGAAAUCCCCGGGCUCAACCUGGGAAUGGCAUUUGGGACUGCAAGGCUGGAGUGUGGCAGAGGGGACUAGAAUUCCUGGUGUAGCAGUGAAAUGCGUAGAUAUCAGGAGGAAUACCGAUGGCGAAGGCAGGUCCCUGGGUUAACACUGACGCUCAUGCACGAAAGCGUGGGGAGCAAACAGGAUUAGAUACCCUUGUAGUC
RNAcentral lists this ribosomal RNA (450 nucleotides) under uncultured bacterium. Its description in RNAcentral is "partial 16S ribosomal RNA". It matches the Rfam family "Bacterial small subunit ribosomal RNA", at positions 338 to 795 of the family's 1533-position model. The record is from RNAcentral.